AUUUUAACUGCCUUCUUGGGAACUUGUGCCUUUCUCAUUUACCUCUGGAGAACCAUCCUCGCUAUAAAGCCUCGACAAUAUGAAGUUACUUUAGACCAAAUCAAGAU
Neogale vison (American mink) is the source of this 107-nucleotide long non-coding RNA. RefSeq lists it as uncharacterized. NCBI's taxonomy places the organism in Eukaryota, Metazoa, Chordata, Mammalia, Carnivora, Mustelidae. The record is from RefSeq and is a predicted model, not a curated record. The transcript is spliced from 3 exons.